Non-coding RNA from Callithrix jacchus (white-tufted-ear marmoset), 4133 nucleotides. The record is from RefSeq and is a predicted model, not a curated record. Lineage: Eukaryota; Metazoa; Chordata; Mammalia; Primates; Cebidae.
AAACUCUGCCCCUACCGCAAAAGCUCUCUCUCUCUCUCUUUCCCUCCCCCACAAAGAGGCUCCCUUAUCUCUCACUUUACAUACCGGCCAUAGCCCUCCCGCCGCCCAGCUUCCCGCCGCCCAGCUUCCCGCCCAGCAGUUCAAACUGACCAACAGUUGCCCACCACCUCGGCUUUUGGCUUCCCCACCCCCAGCCCUUCAGCCCCCUAUAAAACAACCCUGCCCCUUUGAGCGGCGCGGCCAUUUUUCCUUUUCGUCCCGGCUGGCCUGCCCGGAGGCUCUUUCCUCUCAAUAAAGCCUGAACUUAAGGAAUUUCCUCUAGCCUGCGGUCCGGUUUUUUCCGAACGAGCUCAGUCUUCCCGCAGAGGGUAGGUCGGACGAAUGGUGCCGGAAACCCGGGACGGGAGCUGAGGCCGUUGGCCCGGCCACGGCCCCCCUCCCCGACCUACCCAACACUGGCCCUGCCACCUCCACGUUCCGAUUAAGGUAAGCCAAGUUUUUCUUGCUUUGCCUUCCCCCGCUUCCCGUCUCCCCUUCCUACGGCACGGUGCAGUUGCUCCCUCUCCGGCGUUCCGCACGGACUCCUUGCCUAGUCUCGGCCGAGCCAAGGUAGUCUUCCAUUCCGGCUCCAGGAGCCUUCCGAGGGACAGCCGCCAGACGGGGGACGCCCCUCUGACCGCUUCCCUUUCCGUACUUAAUUGUACUCCGGGGAAUUUGCAACGAACGGGGACGCCUUUUCGUUGCAUCUGCCCAUCCGCGCCGGAGAGUCUGUAGCUGCGCCUGCCAUGGGAAAUUCGGAGUCCAAAAUACCUCUGAGCACCCCCCUUGGGUGCUUGCUGCGAAUUUUACCAAAUUGGGAUAUUCCCAAACCCUCAGAAAGAAAAAGCUUAUUUUCCUGUCCCAGGUGGCUUGGCCCCAAUACAAACUCAGUAACCAGUCACAUUGGCCCCCGACUGGCACUUUUGAUUUCAACACCCUCCGAGAUCUCGACAAUUUUUGUCGCCGCGCAGGCAAGGACAAUGAAAUUCCUUACGUCCAGGCUUUUUGGGACCUCCGUACCCACCCCGACCUAUGUUCUUCCUGCUCCACCUACCAAAUCCUCUUAUCUCGAACCCCCCGUAAAUCUUCCUCCACUACCUCUCCCCCUCCCUACUCCUCACCGGAGGAUCUGCCUGAACAUCUGUCCUCUCCUGCCAAUCUCAGCAACCAGUCGCCAUCAACGGCACGCCCUUCCCCCACUCCCUCUGCACCUCCUACCUCAGAGGCCAUGCCUCGCUCUCCCUCUACUCCCUCCGAGCCCCCUCCCUCAGAGGCCGCACUUCCUCUUGCCUCUCCGGUGGCGGCCCACACCCACUCCCACCAGCCAGCUAUCCUGGCCCCACUCCGAGAAGUGGCAGGCACAGAAGGUUUAAUCAGGGUCCAUGUUCCUUUCUCACUCCAAGACCUGUCCCAAAUUGAGACACGUUUAGGAUCCUUCUCAGCCAACCCGUCCACAUAUAUUAAAGAAUUCCAAUACCUCACUCAAACAUAAGAAGCCCUAGUACACUCGACUAGAUCCAGCCUCCCAAAAUGGGGCCACUGUAUUAGCCUCCCAUUUUAUCUCCCAAUCAGCACCCGACAUAAGAAAGAAACUAAAGAAAGCAGAAGAGGGGCCAGAGACUCCCAUCCAAGACCUGGUAAAAAUGGCCUUUAAAGUAUUCAAUGCCAGGGAAGAUGCGGCUGAGGCUGCCCGCCAAACUCGCAUGAAGCAGAAGGCUGCCCUCCAGACCCAAGCCCUAGUGGCGGCUCUAAGGCCGGCAGGGAACCAGAAGCCCAAGGCCGAAACCCAUGCCCCUCCAGGGGCAUGUUUCAAAUGUGGAAAGGAAGGACACUGGUCCCGAGCCUGUCCACAACCAUGGCCACCAACUAAGCCUUGCCCUAUCUGUCGGCUCCCGGGACACUGGAAGUCAGACUGCCCCAGCUUCCCCAGGGUGCCGGUUCCUCAAAACAGACACACUGGCGUUACGCAGCCGGCGGUCACCCUCAGUAGGGAGGAGCCUGCUUGCCAGGAGCCGACCUCCGAGGGAGCUCCGUUCCCCAGUCUACUAGGGCUGCUAGAUGACUAGCGGGGCCCUGGCUUUCCGACUCCGGUUACCCUCGCCGAGCCUAGGGUCACAAGACAUGGGGGCUACCUACUCCGCACUUCCUUCUUAUUCUGGCCAUCUCACCCCUUCCCAGGUCUUAGUCAUGGGAAUCGAUGGGACCCCAAGUAUCCCCUAUCAAACCCCACCACUCAUGUGCUCAUAUAACUCCACUCCAUUCACCCACUCCUUUUUAGUAAUCCCCACCUGCCCAGUUCCCCUUCUGGGGUGAGACAUCCUUUCAAAGCUGAAGGCCGUCAUAACCUUCCCCACCGCCAGCCCACACAGCCUUUUUCUCCUAGCCCUCAAUACUCUGCCUCAGAACUCCAGACCCUCCAGUCUACCCCCGGGGUACAGUUCAAGGAUGACUGGGCCUUCAAGCAUAACCUCCUCAUCCUCCCUGAAAAGCAAAGGUACCAGAUAAUCCAAGACAUCCACAAUUCACUCUACAUUGGGCCUAAAGCCUUAUACCGAUUCCUCAACCCACUUUUUCACCCUCACCAUCUCCUCAGUACCAUACAGGAAGUCCAGUCCUCAUGUACUGUCUGCGCCAAAACUAAUUCCCAGGGUUCCUGUCAUCCCCGGCGCCAGCUUCAUCAGCUACGCAGGUUCCUACCUGGCCAAGACUGGCAAAUUGAUUUCACCCAUAUGCCAAAGCACAAACAGUACCGGUAUCUGCUAACCAUUGUUGACACUUUUUCAAGCUGGAUUGAAGCUUACCCCACAGCCUCUGAGUCUGCCGGGACAGUAGCCACUCAUCUCAUUCAAGACAUCAUCCCACGCUUUGGACUCCCGGCUACCAUACAGUCAGACAACGGCCCAGCCUUUAUCUCCAAAGUCACUAAUGCCGUUUCUACCUCUCUAGGAAUUCAGUAGAAGCUACAUGCUGCCUACCAUCCUCAGUCCUCUGGUAAGGUGGAACGGGCCAAUGGCCUAAUAAAGGAGCAUCUGACUAAGCUCAUGCUUGAGCUCCGCCAAUCCUGGGUAACCUUAAUUCCUAUCACCCUCACCAGGGUAAGAGCAAGCCCCCGGGGCCCAUCACAGCUUAGCCCAUUUGAGCUGCUGUAUGGUUGCCCCUUCCUGCUUUCAACUCCCCCACCGCCAGAGACUACUCCUCUAGACAGCUACCUCCCCUACUUUACUCAGGAUUAGGAGGAGGGGCACUAGUCCACUCUCACCUGGCCAUAGCCCGACUGACCUCACAACUCCAAGCGGCUAUUGAUGACUCUACUGAGUCUUUAGCAUCACUCCAACGACAGAUCACCUCAGUUGCCCAAGUUGCCUUGCAGAACCGAAGAGCCCUGGACCUGCUCACUGCUGAACGAGGAGGGACCUGUAUCUUCCUACAGGAAGAGUGCUGUUACUACAUCAAUGAAUCCGGCCUAGUAGAAACCCAAAUCGAGAGCCUCCAGAAACUCAAAACUAACCUGCAGAGUCAGAAGUUCUCGGCUGAAGCCACGGCGUGUUCCUAUAGCGGCGCUUUCAAGAACUGACUCGAGUCACCAUCCACCAGAUGCUGCUCCAACCCUACCCUGAACGAGUGCAAGAAACAGACCUCUCCCCGAACAUCCAGGCUCCUUAGGAAAAGAAACCUCUUCAGAACCCCCCCGUCGACCCUUGUCAGCAGGAAGUAGCCAGAGAGACAACCGACGCCCCUGACCCCCUCUUUUUCUUUUCUUUAAGGAGUCGGGAAUGUUUGGAAAACUCUGCCCCUACCGCAAAAGCUCUCUCUCUCUCUCUUUCCCUCCCCCACAAAGAGGCUCCCUUAUCUCUCACUUUACAUACCGGCCAUAGCCCUCCCGCCGCCCAGCUUCCCGCCGCCCAGCUUCCCGCCCAGCAGUUCAAACUGACCAACAGUUGCCCACCACCUCGGCUUUUGGCUUCCCCACCCCCAGCCCUUCAGCCCCCUAUAAAACAACCCUGCCCCUUUGAGCGGCGCGGCCAUUUUUCCUUUUCGUCCCGGCUGGCCUGCCCGGAGGCUCUUUCCUCUCAAUAAAGCCUGAACUUAAGGAA